GGAAUUGACGGGGCCCGCACAAGCGGUGGAGCAUGUGGUUUAAUUCGAUGCAACGCGAAGAACCUUACCUGGACUUGACAUCUCGGGAAUCCCCUGGAAACAGGGGAGUGCCCUUCGGGGAGCCCGAAGACAGGUGCUGCAUGGCUGUCGUCAGCUCGUGUCGUGAGAUGUUGGGUUAAGUCCCGCAACGAGCGCAACCCUUGUCUUUAAUUGCCAUCAUUCAGUUGGGCACUUUAAAGAGACUGCCGGUGUUAAGCCGGAGGAAGGUGGGGAUGACGUCAAGUCCUCAUGGCCCUUAUGUCCAGGGCUACACACGUGCUACAAUGGCCGGUACAAAGGGCAGCAAAGCCGCGAGGUGGAGCCAAUCCCAGAAAGCCGGUCUCAGUUCGGAUUGGAGUCUGCAACUCGACUCCAUGAAGUUGGAAUCGCUAGUAAUCGCGGAUCAGCACGCCGCGGUGAAUACGUUCCCGGGCCUU
RNAcentral lists this ribosomal RNA (476 nucleotides) under uncultured Syntrophus sp. RNAcentral's name for it is "bacterial SSU rRNA". It matches the Rfam family "Bacterial small subunit ribosomal RNA", at positions 906 to 1382 of the family's 1533-position model. Lineage: Bacteria; Pseudomonadati; Thermodesulfobacteriota; Syntrophia; Syntrophales; Syntrophaceae. The record is from RNAcentral.